Phoenix dactylifera (date palm) is the source of this 1230-nucleotide non-coding RNA. The record is from RefSeq and is a predicted model, not a curated record. NCBI's taxonomy places the organism in Eukaryota, Viridiplantae, Streptophyta, Magnoliopsida, Arecales, Arecaceae.
CCAGAUUUAGGACGGCUUUAUAUUUUCUCCCUUGCCCCUAGCUUAUGUUCUCAAGGACGCCAUGGGAGAGGAGGAGGAGGAGAACGCGAGGAGGGAGGCUGCGUUGGCUGCAACGCCACUCCUCCAAACCAAUUUCAAAUCUUCGAAGGUCACCCAGUCUCAGCUCGACAAGUUCCGGGAACUACACAAUAAACGAUUGUUGUUAAAAGGAAAAAACAAAGGAUAAAGCAAAAUUUAAAGGGAAUUCUGGUAGGGAUGCGAAUCUGUGCUUGGAGGAGCUUGACAUUAAGGAUGGUAAAGAUAUAUCUGCAUCUGGUGACACUGAAGAUUCAAAUGUUUCCAAAUUAAAAGAGAAUACUUGCUUGGUAGAAAAAACAAAUCCAGACUCAAGGAAGAGACGGAAGUUACAUUGGGGGCUUGAUGCAAAGGAAAGAUGGGAAAGGAAAGCAAACAUGUAGAUUGUUGAGAAUUAACAUGCCAGCUCAAGUUGCAUGAUUGAUGCUGUAAAUAACUUUUAAAAAAAAAAUCAGCCAAAAUUUUGUACUUUCAACCUUUGUAAUGGAUCCAAAUGGGAAUUAUUUUUAAGAAAAAUGGUUGAUCUUAAAGCUAUGUCUCAAUUAAAUAUGAAGGUUGCUCUUAUCAGUUUGUGAUGUUGCAAUAUGCAUUAUAUAUUCACUUCAGGAUAAUUUUUAAAAGUUGGUACUGAUUUUCUUGAUGACAGGCCUGUCAAUGCCAUCAAAUGUGAGUGAUGAAAUGCGAAACAACUCGGCCAUGUAGAUUUAUAUUUGUUGCGAGACGCCAUGAUAAUUUUACAUUUUUGUGAAAGGACUAUAGUUUGUAGAGAAGGAAUCCAAUGGGGUAUGAAGGACCACAUAUGUUCACAAUGUGUACGUGAAGCAGCAAUGGAACUCACACCAACAACAUGAUCCAUUGCAAGCCAGAAACAGGGAUUUUAAAGCUUACGCUACUUUGGGCAUUUUAAAUUACAACUGCGGUUCGCAUAUCACAUCCCAACCAACUCACUCACACUGAAUGGGAACAUGAUAGCUGCAGCUACAACCAUUAGGAGAUCUGCCGAAUGUUAUUGAGUACUUGACAGUUAUUCGGCAGAAUUCUGAGAUGUGGCAAUGUCACAAAGCAAGAAGGCUAUACAGCAAUAUAGUACUUAUGGAACAUGGAAAACCUGCCUCAUUAUUGAAUUUAAAGAAACCAUUGUAAAGCUUAUUUUGU